Molecule: ribosomal RNA, 253 nt
Filed under: uncultured bacterium
Lineage: Bacteria
Description: partial 16S ribosomal RNA
Rfam family: Bacterial small subunit ribosomal RNA
Source: RNAcentral
UACAGAGGGGGCAAGCGUUGUUCGGAAUUACUGGGCGUAAAGGGCGCGUAGGCGGCCUUCUAAGUCGAACGUGAAAUCCCCGGGCUCAACCCGGGAACUGCGUCCGAGAAUGGAAGGCUUGAAUCCGGGAGAGGGAUGUGGAAUUCCAGGUGUAGCGGUGAAAUGCGUAGAUAUCUGGAGGAACAUCGGUGGCGAAGGCGGCAUCCUGGACCGGUAUUGACGCUGAGGCGCGAAAGCCAGGGGAGCAAACGGG